CUAACAAGGAUUCCCCUAGUAACGGCGAGUGAAGCGGGAAGAGCUCAAAUUUGAAAUCUGGUGGCCUCAGGUCAUCCGAGUUGUAAUCUAUAGAAGUGUUUUCCGUGCUGGCUCAUGUACAAGUCCCUUGGAACAGGGCGUCAUAGAGGGUGAGAAUCCCGUCCUUGACAUGAACUACCAGUGCUCUGUGAUACAUUUUCAACGAGUCGAGUUGUUUGGGAAUGCAGCUCAAAAUGGGUGGUAAAUUCCAUCUAAAGCUAAAUAUUGGCGAGAGACCGAUAGCGAACAAGUACCGUGAGGGAAAGAUGAAAAGCACUUUGGAAAGAGAGUUAAACAGUAUGUGAAAUUGUUGAAAGGGAAACGAUUGAAGUCAGUCGUGCUCUUUGGAUUCAGCCGGUUCUGCCGGUGUACUUCCUUUGAGUGGGGUCAACAUCAGUUUUGAUCGCUGGAUAAAGGCUGGAGGAACGUAGUACCCUCGGGUAAACUUAUAGCCUCCUGUCACAUACAGUGGUUGGGACUGAGGAACGCAGCACGCCUUUAUGGCCGGGAUUCGUCCACGUACGUGCUUA
RNAcentral lists this ribosomal RNA (569 nucleotides) under Filobasidium magnum. RNAcentral's name for it is "partial large subunit ribosomal RNA". It matches the Rfam family "Eukaryotic large subunit ribosomal RNA", at positions 65 to 615 of the family's 3401-position model. Lineage: Eukaryota; Fungi; Basidiomycota; Tremellomycetes; Filobasidiales; Filobasidiaceae. The record is from RNAcentral.